RNAcentral lists this ribosomal RNA (688 nucleotides) under Heleiosa lincangensis. RNAcentral's name for it is "SSU rRNA". It matches the Rfam family "Bacterial small subunit ribosomal RNA", at positions 400 to 1175 of the family's 1533-position model. The record is from RNAcentral. Lineage: Eukaryota; Fungi; Ascomycota; Dothideomycetes; Pleosporales.
CUUUAUUGCGCGUGGGAUUAUGUCUUAUAAAGUUCUAGAUAUAAGAUUUAUUAUGAAAGUUUUUUAUCUAUAUGUCUUGGCUAAAUUUUGUGCCAGCAGCCGCGGUAAUACAAAGGAGACUAGUGUUAUUCAUCUUUAUUAGGUUUAAAGGGUACCUAGACGGCAUUACUUGCCUUUAAAAAGGGGACAGUUUUGCUAGUGUUCUUCUAUGAGAGGACAAUGAAGUAUUAAAGAUGGAGAGAUAAAAUUUGUUGAUAUCUUUAGGACGGGUUAAGGCGAAAGCGAACCUCUAUGUAAGAACAGACGUUGAGGGACGAAGGCAUUGAUAACAAACAGGAUUAGAUACCCCAGUAGUCUUUGCAGAAAAUGAUGAAUGCCAUAAGUCAGAUUCUAUAAUUUGGUUUAUAAAUGAAAGUGUAAGCAUUCCACCUCAAGAGUAAUGUGUCAGUACAGAAACUGAAAUCAUUAGACCGUUUCUGAAAACAGUAGUGAAGUAUGUUGUUUAAUUCGAUGAUCCACGAAAAACCUUACCACAAUUCGUAUGUUAGAUUAAAAUAAUCUGAUACAGGCGUUGCAUGGUUGUCUUUAGUUGAUGUCGUGAGAUCUGGUACUCCUUUAAUCAACGAAAACCCUCGCUUUAUUUAUAAAUUUAAAAUAGAGUGGUUCUCCGUUAUAUAGGAUUAAGAUA